RNAcentral lists this ribosomal RNA (467 nucleotides) under uncultured bacterium. Its description in RNAcentral is "partial 16S ribosomal RNA". It matches the Rfam family "Bacterial small subunit ribosomal RNA", at positions 28 to 506 of the family's 1533-position model. The record is from RNAcentral.
GACGAACGCUGGCGGCGUGCUUAACACAUGCAAGUCGAACGGAAAGGCCCUGCUUUUGUGGGGUGCUCGAGUGGCGAACGGGUGAGUAACACGUGAGUAACCUGCCCUUGACUUUGGGAUAACUUCAGGAAACUGGGGCUAAUACCGGAUAGGAGCUCCUGCUGCAUGGUGGGGGUUGGAAAGUUUCGGCGGUUGGGGAUGGACUCGCGGCUUAUCAGCUUGUUGGUGGGGUAGUGGCUUACCAAGGCUUUGACGGGUAGCCGGCCUGAGAGGGUGACCGGCCACAUUGGGACUGAGGUACGGCCCGGACUCCUACGGGAGGCAGCAGUGGGGAAUAUUGCACAAUGGGCGGAAGCCUGAUGCAGCAACGCCGCGUGCGGGAUGACGGCCUUCGGGUUGUAAACCGCUUUCGCCUGUGACGAAGCGUGAGUGACGGUAAUGGGUAAAGAAGCACCGGCUAACUACGU